GAUGAACGCUGGCGGCGUACUUAACACAUGCAAGUCGAACGAAGCUGUUAAAAGGAAGUCUUCGGAUGGAAUUUUAACAGACUUAGUGGCGGACGGGUGAGUAACGCGUGGAUAACCUGCCUUAUACAGGGGGAUAACGGAGAGAAAUUUCCGCUAAGACCGCAUAAGACCACAGCACCGCAUGGUGCAGGGGUAAAAUAUUAAUAGGUAUAAGAUGGAUCCGCGUCCGAUUAGCUAGUUGGUGAGGUAGAGGCUCACCAAGGCGACGAUCGGUAGCCGGCCUGAGAGGGUGAACGGCCACAUUGGGACUGAGACACGGCCCAAACUCCUACGGGAGGCAGCAGUGGGGAAUAUUGGACAAUGGGGGAAACCCUGAUCCAGCGACGCCGCGUGAGU
RNAcentral lists this ribosomal RNA (396 nucleotides) under uncultured bacterium. RNAcentral describes it as "bacterial SSU rRNA". It matches the Rfam family "Bacterial small subunit ribosomal RNA", at positions 28 to 406 of the family's 1533-position model. The record is from RNAcentral.